ACGGAGUUACAAAGGACGACAUUAGACGAAUCAUCUGGAAAGAUGAAUCAAAGAAGGUAAUAAUCCUGUAGUCGAAAAUGUUGUCUCUCUUGAGUGGAUCCUGAGUACGACGGAGCACGUGAAAUUCCGUCGGAAUCUGGGAGGACCAUCUCCUAAGGCUAAAUACUCUCUAGUGACCGAUAGUGAACCAGUACCGUGAGGGAAAGGUGAAAAGCACCCCGUAAGGGGAGUGAAAUAGAACCUGAAACCGUGUGCUUACAAGUAGUCAGAGCCCGUUAAUGGGUGAUGGCGUGCCUUUUGUAGAAUGAACCGGCGAGUUACGAUUUGAUGCAAGGUUAAGCAGUAAAUGUGGAGCCGUAGCGAAAGCGAGUCUGAAUAGGGCGUUUAGUAUUUGGUCGUAGACCCGAAACCAGGUGAUCUACCCUUGGUCAGGUUGAAGUUCAGGUAACACUGAAUGGAGGACCGAACCGACUUACGUUGAAAAGUGAGCGGAUGAACUGAGGGUAGCGGAGAAAUUCCAAUCGAACCUGGAGAUAGCUGGUUCUCUCCGAAAUAGCUUUAGGGCUAGCCUCAAGUGAUGAUUAUUGGAGGUAGAGCACUGUUUGGACGAGGGGCCCCUCUCGGGUUACCGAAUUCAGACAAACUCCGAAUGCCAAUUAAUUUAACUUGGGAGUCAGAACAUGGGUGAUAAGGUCCGUGUUCGAAAGGGAAACAGCCCAGACCACCAGCUAAGGUCCCAAAAUAUAUGUUAAGUGGAAAAGGAUGUGGCGUUGCCCAGACAACUAGGAUGUUGGCUUAGAAGCAGCCAUCAUUUAAAGAGUGCGUAAUAGCUCACUAGUCGAGUGACACUGCGCCGAAAAUGUACCGGGGCUAAACAUAUUACCGAAGCUGUGGAUUGUCCUUUGGACAAUGGUAGGAGAGCGUUCUAAGGGCGUUGAAGCAUGAUCGUAAGGACAUGUGGAGCGCUUAGAAGUGAGAAUGCCGGUGUGAGUAGCGAAAGACGGGUGAGAAUCCCGUCCACCGAUUGACUAAGGUUUCCAGAGGAAGGCUCGUCCGCUCUGGGUUAGUCGGGUCCUAAGCUGAGGCCGACAGGCGUAGGCGAUGGAUAACAGGUUGAUAUUCCUGUACCACCUAUAAUCGUUUUAAUCGAUGGGGGGACGCAGUAGGAUAGGCGAAGCGUGCGAUUGGAUUGCACGUCUAAGCAGUAAGGCUGAGUAUUAGGCAAAUCCGGUACUCGUUAAGGCUGAGCUGUGAUGGGGAGAAGACAUUGAGUCUUCGAGUCGUUGAUUUCACACUGCCGAGAAAAGCCUCUAGAUAGAAAAUAGGUGCCCGUACCGCAAACCGACACAGGUAGUCAAGAUGAGAAUUCUAAGGUGAGCGAGCGAACUCUCGUUAAGGAACUCGGCAAAAUGACCCCGUAACUUCGGGAGAAGGGGUGCUCUUUAGGGUUAACGCCCAGAAGAGCCGCAGUGAAUAGGCCCAAGCGACUGUUUAUCAAAAACACAGGUCUCUGCUAAACCGUAAGGUGAUGUAUAGGGGCUGACGCCUGCCCGGUGCUGGAAGGUUAAGAGGAGUGGUUAGCUUCUGCGAAGCUACGAAUCGAAGCCCCAGUAAACGGCGGCCGUAACUAUAACGGUCCUAAGGUAGCGAAAUUCCUUGUCGGGUAAGUUCCGACCCGCACGAAAGGCGUAACGAUUUGGGCACUGUCUCAACGAGAGACUCGGUGAAAUCAUAGUACCUGUGAAGAUGCAGGUUACCCGCGACAGGACGGAAAGACCCCGUGGAGCUUUACUGUAGCCUGAUAUUGAAAUUCGGCACAGCUUGUACAGGAUAGGUAGGAGCCUUUGAAACGUGAGCGCUAGCUUACGUGGAGGCGCUGGUGGGAUACUACCCUAGCUGUGUUGGCUUUCUAACCCGCACCACUUAUCGUGGUGGGAGACAGUGUCAGGCGGGCAGUUUGACUGGGGCGGUCGCCUCCUAAAAGGUAACGGAGGCGCUCAAAGGUUCCCUCAGAAUGGUUGGAAAUCAUUCAUAGAGUGUAAAGGCAUAAGGGAGCUUG
RNAcentral lists this ribosomal RNA (2059 nucleotides) under Staphylococcus aureus. Its description in RNAcentral is "bacterial LSU rRNA". It matches the Rfam family "Bacterial large subunit ribosomal RNA", at positions 310 to 2371 of the family's 2925-position model. The record is from RNAcentral. Lineage: Bacteria; Bacillati; Bacillota; Bacilli; Caryophanales; Staphylococcaceae.